Molecule: ribosomal RNA, 624 nt
Filed under: Trichoderma pseudokoningii
Lineage: Eukaryota; Fungi; Ascomycota; Sordariomycetes; Hypocreales; Hypocreaceae
Description: eukaryotic LSU rRNA
Rfam family: 5.8S ribosomal RNA (bases 273-426)
Source: RNAcentral
UGGAAGUAAAAGUCGUAACAAGGUCUCCGUUGGUGAACCAGCGGAGGGAUCAUUACCGAGUUUACAACUCCCAAACCCAAUGUGAACGUUACCAAUCUGUUGCCUCGGCGGGAUCUCUGCCCCGGGCGCGUCGCAGCCCCGGACCCCAUGGCGCCCGCCGGAGGACCAACCAAACUCUUUUUUCUCUCCGUCGCGGCCUACGUCGCGGCUCUGUUUUAUUUUGCUCUGAGCCUUUCUCGGCGACCCUAGCGGGCGUCUCGAAAAUGAAUCAAAACUUUCAACAACGGAUCUCUUGGUUCUGGCAUCGAUGAAGAACGCAGCGAAAUGCGAUAAGUAAUGUGAAUUGCAGAAUUCAGUGAAUCAUCGAAUCUUUGAACGCACAUUGCGCCCGCCAGUAUUCUGGCGGGCAUGCCUGUCCGAGCGUCAUUUCAACCCUCGAACCCCUCCGGGGGGUCGGCGUUGGGGAUCGGCCCCUCACCGGGCCGCCCCCGAAAUCCAGUGGCGGUCUCGCCGCAGCCUCUCCUGCGCAGUAGUUUGCACACUCGCACCGGGAGCGCGGCGCGGCCACAGCCGUAAAACACCCCAAACUCUGAAAUGUUGACCUCGGAUCAGGUAGGAAUACCC